Molecule: long non-coding RNA, 609 nt
Filed under: Homo sapiens (human)
Lineage: Eukaryota; Metazoa; Chordata; Mammalia; Primates; Hominidae
Description: non-protein coding lnc-PTGER3-9:1
Source: RNAcentral
CACAGAGAACACUGAAAACUCAGUGGAUUCAAAGUCCAUUAAAAAUUUGGAACCAAAGAUCAUACAUGGAAGCAAAUCAAUGGGCUCUGGAAUAUCCUUGGACAACAGUUAUAAAAUGGAUUGUCCCGAAAUGAGUGUAUGUAUUAUAUAAUAAUUAAUGAUAAGAAUAAGUGGAAUCAUAGAGGCACUGGAAUGGCAUCUUGGUCUGGUACAGAUGUCAAUGUGGCAAACCUCAGGGAAACACUCACAAACUUGAAAUAUGAAGUCAGGAAUAAAAAUGAUCUUACAUGUCAAGAAAUUGUGGAAUUGAUGCACAGUGUUUCUUAAGAAGAUCACAGCAAAAGGAGCAGUUUUGUUUGUGUGCUUUGGAGCCAUGGUGAAGAAGGAAUAAUUUUUGGAACAAAUGGACCUGUUGACCAGAAAAAGGUAACAAGUUUUUUCAGAGGGGAUUGUUGUAGAAGUCUAACUGGAAAACCCAAGCUUUUCAUUAUUCAGGCCUGCCAUGGUACAGAACUGGAUUCUGGCAUUGAGACUGACAGUGGUAUUGAUGAUGACAUGGUGUGUCAUAAAAUACCAGUGAAGGCCGAAUUUUUGUAUGCAUAUGAGACA